This 253-nucleotide ribosomal RNA is filed under the name uncultured bacterium. RNAcentral's name for it is "partial 16S ribosomal RNA". It matches the Rfam family "Bacterial small subunit ribosomal RNA", at positions 524 to 776 of the family's 1533-position model. The record is from RNAcentral.
UACGGAGGGUGCAAGCGUUAAUCGGAAUCACUGGGCGUAAAGCGCACGCAGGUGGCUGAGUCAGUCGAGUGUGAAAGCCCUGGGCUUAACCUGGGAAUUGCAGUCGAUACUACUCAGCUAGAGUAUGGGAGAGGGCAGUGGAAUUCCCGGUGUAGCGGUGAAAUGCGUAGAUAUCGGGAGGAACAUCAGUGGCGAAGGCGGCUGCCUGGCCCAAUACUGACACUCAGGUGCGACAGCGUGGGGAGCAAACAGG